This 260-nucleotide ribosomal RNA is filed under the name uncultured Lactobacillus sp. RNAcentral's name for it is "partial 16S ribosomal RNA". It matches the Rfam family "Bacterial small subunit ribosomal RNA", at positions 103 to 355 of the family's 1533-position model. Lineage: Bacteria; Bacillati; Bacillota; Bacilli; Lactobacillales; Lactobacillaceae. The record is from RNAcentral.
CGGGUUAGUAACACGUGGGCAACCUGCCCUGAAGCGGGGGAUAACAUCUGGAAACAGGUGCUAAUACCGCAUAACAACGAAAACCACAUGGUUUUCGUUUCAAAGAUGGUUUCGGCUAUCACUUCGGGAUGGGCCCGCGGUGCAUUAGCUAGUUGGUAGGGCAACGGCUUACCAAGGCAAUGAUGCAUAGCCGAGUUGAGAGACUGAUCGGCCACAUUGGGACUGAUACACGGCCCAAACUCCUACGGGAGGCAGCAGCA